AACGAACGCUGGCGGCAGGCUUAACACAUGCAAGUCGAGCGCGUAGCAAUACGAGCGGCAGACGGGUGAGUAACGCGUGGGAAUCUACCCAACCCUACGGAAUAACGCAUGGAAACGUGUGCUAAUACCGUAUACGCCCUUAGGGGGAAAGAUUUAUCGGGGAUGGAUGAGCCCGCGUUGGAUUAGCUAGUUGGUGGGGUAAAGGCCUACCAAGGCGACGAUCCAUAGCUGGUCUGAGAGGAUGAUCAGCCACAUUGGGACUGAGACACGGCCCAAACUCCUACGGGAGGCAGCAGUGGGGAAUAUUGGACAAUGGGCGCAAGCCUGAUCCAGCCAUGCCGCGUGAGUGAUGAAGGCCUUAGGGUUGUAAAGCUCUUUUACCCGAGAUGAUAAUGACAGUAUCGGGAGAAUAAGCUCCGGCUAACUCCGUGCCAGCAGCCGCGGUAAUGUGACUACUG
This 458-nucleotide ribosomal RNA is filed under the name uncultured bacterium. Its description in RNAcentral is "bacterial SSU rRNA". It matches the Rfam family "Bacterial small subunit ribosomal RNA", at positions 29 to 534 of the family's 1533-position model. The record is from RNAcentral.